RNAcentral lists this ribosomal RNA (460 nucleotides) under uncultured bacterium. Its description in RNAcentral is "partial 16S ribosomal RNA". It matches the Rfam family "Bacterial small subunit ribosomal RNA", at positions 338 to 795 of the family's 1533-position model. The record is from RNAcentral.
CCUACGGGGGGCUGCAGUGAGGAAUAUUGGUCAAUGGACGAGAGUCUGAACCAGCCAAGUAGCGUGAAGGAUGACUGCCCUAUGGGUUGUAAACUUCUUUUAUAUGGGAAUAAAAUGUUCCACGUGUGGGCUUUUGUAUGUACCAUAUGAAUAAGGAUCGGCUAACUCCGUGCCAGCAGCCGCGGUAAUCCGGAGGAUCCGAGCGUUAUCCGGAUUUAUUGGGUUUAAAGGGAGCGUAGGUGGAUUGUUAAGGCAGUUGUGAAAGUUUGCGGCUCAACCGUAAAAUUGCAGUUGAAACUGGCAGUCUUGAGUACAGUAGAGGUGGGCGGAAUUCGUGGUGUAGCGGUGAAAUGCUUAGAUAUCACGAAGAACUCCGAUUGCGAAGGCAGCUCACUGGACUGCAACUGACACUGAGGCUCGAAAGUGUGGGUAUCAAACAGGAUUAGAUACCCUUGUAGUC